AGGGGCAGAGGGCUAUUCUCUAGUGUCUGAAUCUGACAGCACUCAAACUCGCCUCCCCUCCACAUGCAUAGACCACAGUGGCUCUUUAUGUCCCAUUCAAGACCUGCCUUUGUUCUUUCCACUCAUUCUUAAGUCGUUAACCCUUUCUUCAGAAACUGGCCCCAUUUGUGUAGCACGCAGCCACGGAUUCCCCCUGUUCUUUAUUCCAAGAAUUUGAAAUGCGCUGCCUCAUUGUGUUACAGAAGCACAAAGGGCUGCCUGCAUGGUGAGGGAGCUCACCGCACACUGGGGUGCCUUUAAGUUCAGGAAAGGAAGAAACAUGGGCAGACUGAGAUGGUUUGCUUGGCUGCAAGGGGGUCACUGAGCAGGGUGGAUGAUAUCUUUGGUAAGUGGCUUUGAGGGAAACGUGAUUCUCUCAAACCUAUCACCAUUUUCGCCGCCGCCGCACCGUUAAAGCGGCACCUGUCAAGGCCUACCAGAGGAAGGCUGCCAUCUUGCGUGGAGCUGGGGUACAGCAAGAAAUUUAUCCGGGAUCACUGCCGCUCGGCAGAAGACGAGUGAGGGAGUGAGCUAGCUGCAUUCUUCCUCACCGGGGGCUGCGGUCUCCGUUCAUGCAUGGGCAGGCUUCACCUUGUGACAGAGAACGUCUGGGUUCUUGGAGGUAGGAUUCUCUCACAUCUCCUUCAUGACAAGCUGAGAAUUGAUGUCUGCUCUCCUGUUGAGUACCACAUGAACAGCAUAGUAGUCUGUUGA
RNAcentral lists this long non-coding RNA (753 nucleotides) under Numida meleagris (helmeted guineafowl). RNAcentral's name for it is "lncRNA (ENSNMEG00000010028.1)". Lineage: Eukaryota; Metazoa; Chordata; Aves; Galliformes; Numididae. The record is from RNAcentral.